AUUGAACGCUGGCGGCAUGCCUUACACAUGCAAGUCGAACGGCAGCACGGGUGCUUGCACCUGGUGGCGAGUGGCGAACGGGUGAGUAAUACAUCGGAACGUACCUUAUCGUGGGGGAUAACGCAGCGAAAGUUGCGCUAAUACCGCAUAAGCCCUGAGGGGGAAAGCGGGGGACCGUAAGGCCUCGCGCGAUUAGAGCGGCCGAUGUCUGAUUAGCUUGUUGGUGAGGUAAAAGCUCACCAAGGCGAUGAUCAGUGGCUGGUCUGAGAGGACGAUCAGCCACACUGGGACUGAGACACGGCCCAGACUCCUGCGGGAGGCAGCAGUGGGGAAUUUUGGACAAUGGGGGCAACCCUGAUCCAGCAAUGCCGCGUGAGUGAAGAAGGCCUUCGGGUUGUAAAGCUCUUUUGUCAGGGAAGAAACAGCAGCUCUAACACAGUCUGCGAAUGACGGUACCUGAAGAAUAAGCACCGGCUAACUACGUGCCAGCAGCCGCCGUAA
This 501-nucleotide ribosomal RNA is filed under the name uncultured bacterium. RNAcentral's name for it is "partial 16S ribosomal RNA". It matches the Rfam family "Bacterial small subunit ribosomal RNA", at positions 30 to 523 of the family's 1533-position model. The record is from RNAcentral.